GUAGACUCAAGUGUAAGCUUACAUGUGCCUUUGGGGGGCGACGAACACGCGGAGGCCAAUGGGAUCGGCGCGGCCAUUUUUAGAGGACUCCGCGAGGCAAAGCGUGGUCUGAAACCGCUGGUAGCAUUCAGUUUGAAGCAGCCGGCCGGUCAGGAGCCUUUCCUCUCCGUUUCGUCUCGCGAUCAUCAGCGAUCAUCAUCCUGCAAUUUGCUCAACUUUAGUCCAACCGAUCUUUCAUUCUGACUAGUGAAUUCCAACCAGGCGGCUGGUGACAACUUAUCAGUGGAUUACGCAACCCCCAGAAAAUUCCCACGGUUUAGCGCUGAAGGACACCUUAGCUGGACUACGAAGUCCGGGGAGCGGAGCCUUCGCGAAGAAAGUGGCAGACCCUGUUCCGGAUGGGCCGAACGGGGUAUUUUUGGUUCGCAAGAGGAUUGCGUUAGCGUUAGGGUAUCCGCUGGCAGCCGAGCUCAAGUCAGAAAUAGACGGCUCUCCAUGGGUUCGAGCGUCCAUGUGGACGAUCCUGAUCGCUAUUUACUGACCUGCCGUGACUACCAUGUGGUCGCCAGCUUUAUUUAAGGCUCCCAGACGCCGAGCCCGGCCGCAUGCGCUAGAUUUUAUUCUUGCAGAUGGAAGAGGACUCCAGUGAGAGGGAAAAGUGUUUCCAGAAUAAUUGGAGAGAGAGAGAGAGAGAGAGAGGGUAAUCCUCUUGUAACAAUUUUUCUCUGUAAGUAGUUUCCGGAUUCCAGAUUGAAAGUGCGAUAACCACGUGAGGGUUGCUUGGGCAGAAUGGGAACAGGAAGCCAAAAGAAGAUCGUCUUUCGACGAGUCAAAAAUAGGACGUGUGUUCGGACGCCGCCACGUUUCCAUAAAUGAGUUCUCCGGUUACAAGGUCUAUUUCCGGUCCAUGCCGACAACAGGAGGCUCGGAAGUCACGGUGCAACAGGAAGAUUUUUAUUUCAUCUAAAAUCUAAAACGUGAUCAGAUUAUGUAGAUCUUGCUUGAUUAUUUGAUUUUAAUUAGAAGUAAAAAGUAAAUUGGGUAUGAAUUUCUGAAGUUACUGUAAUGUAUUCUAACAUCUUGUAUAAUAUUAUGUAUAAAUAAUAAGUAAAUGAGUGCUGAUGCGUUAUUCCUUAUAACAA
Molecule: long non-coding RNA, 1142 nt
Organism: Megalopta genalis
Lineage: Eukaryota; Metazoa; Arthropoda; Insecta; Hymenoptera; Halictidae
Source: RefSeq, a predicted model, not a curated record